RNAcentral lists this ribosomal RNA (427 nucleotides) under uncultured prokaryote. Its description in RNAcentral is "bacterial SSU rRNA". It matches the Rfam family "Bacterial small subunit ribosomal RNA", at positions 355 to 774 of the family's 1533-position model. The record is from RNAcentral.
UAGGGAAUCUUCCGCAAUGGACGAAAGUCUGACGGAGCAACGCCGCGUGAACGAUGAAGGCCUUCGGGUCGUAAAGUUCUGUUGUUAGGGAAGAACAAGUACCAGAGUAACUGCUGGUACCUUGACGGUACCUAACCAGAAAGCCACGGCUAACUACGUGCCAGCAGCCGCGGUAAUACGUAGGUGGCAAGCGUUGUCCGGAAUUAUUGGGCGUAAAGCGCUCGCAGGCGGUUUCUUAAGUCUGAUGUGAAAGCCCACGGCUCAACCGUGGAGGGUCAUUGGAAACUGGGGAACUUGAGUGCAGAAGAGGAGAGUGGAAUUCCACGUGUAGCGGUGAAAUGCGUAGAGAUGUGGAGGAACACCAGUGGCGAAGGCGACUCUCUGGUCUGUAACUGACGCUGAGGAGCGAAAGCGUGGGGAGCGAACA